This 18-nucleotide small nuclear RNA is filed under the name Arabidopsis thaliana (thale cress). RNAcentral describes it as "snRNA_12058". The record is from RNAcentral. Lineage: Eukaryota; Viridiplantae; Streptophyta; Magnoliopsida; Brassicales; Brassicaceae.
GCGAGUUCUAUCGGGUAA